Small nucleolar RNA from Zingiber officinale, 92 nucleotides. RefSeq annotates it as small nucleolar RNA R24. Lineage: Eukaryota; Viridiplantae; Streptophyta; Magnoliopsida; Zingiberales; Zingiberaceae. The record is from RefSeq and is a predicted model, not a curated record. The transcript has a single exon.
AUAACUAUGUUGAUCUGUAACAUGCUAGAAGAAUCUUUCAUUUAAUUGGUCCUUCAAUGAAGUAGUCUGGUUCCGCGUGCCUUCAGUGCCCU